GUCUCAGCGAUGCUCGACUAUAUUGGCCCCAUCGAUGUAAUCAACUUCUGGCUGCUGCAAAGAAGGAGAACAAAAGGUUUCGGGAUUAAUAAGGUAC
RNAcentral lists this ribosomal RNA (97 nucleotides) under Rhodaniridogorgia superba. Its description in RNAcentral is "partial 16S ribosomal RNA". Lineage: Eukaryota; Metazoa; Cnidaria; Anthozoa; Scleralcyonacea; Chrysogorgiidae. The record is from RNAcentral.